RNAcentral lists this ribosomal RNA (478 nucleotides) under uncultured bacterium. RNAcentral describes it as "bacterial SSU rRNA". It matches the Rfam family "Bacterial small subunit ribosomal RNA", at positions 364 to 832 of the family's 1533-position model. The record is from RNAcentral.
UUUCGCAAUGCCCGAAAGGGUGACGAAGCGACGCCGCGUGCGGGAAGAAGGCCUUCGGGUUGUAAACCGCUGUCGGGAGUUAAGAAAUGCAAGGGUGUUAACAGCAUCCUUGCUUGACUAAGGCUCCGGAGGAAGCCACGGCUAACUCUGUGCCAGCAGCCGCGGUAAUACAGAGGCGGCAAGCGUUGUUCGGAAUUAUUGGGCGUAAAGAGCACGUAGGCGGCUGUGUAAGUCGGUUGUGAAAGCCUUCCGCUCAACGGGAGAACGGCAUCCGAUACUGCAUAGCUUGAGUGUGGGAGGGGAGAGUGGAACUUCUGGUGGAGCGGUGAAGUGCGUAGAUAUCAGAAGGAACACCGGCGGCGAAGGCGACUCUCUGGCCCGUAACUGACGCUGAGUGUGCGAAAGCUAGGGGAGCAAACGGGAUUAGAUACCCCGGUAGUCCUAGCCGUAAACGAUGGGCACUAAGUAGAGGGGUUUU